CUCAGGUUCAGGAGAGUUAGGUUUUGAGUCUCCGCUGAGCUCCUUUACUAGCUGUGUGGCCUCAGGGAAGUUACUUAACCUUUCUGGGUCUUGGAUUCUGAGCGUAAUUGUGUCCGCCUCCACAGGUAUGGCCGUCCAGGUGGAGUGAAGUUCAGCAACUUGCUCAAAUUCACGCACCGAAAGACCUGUACUUGACAUCGCCAGGAUCCGCAGCCCCGCGGCUGGACUCCAGAGCCAAGGUCCUCGCUACUAUUCCGCCCUACACAGGCGAUGCCGAAACGUGAAACGUCGAGAGGCUGCUUGAGGCAACCAGAACAUUCCAGAAAUCCAGAGUUAAACGUAUUUUAUCCCUUGGAAAACAGUGUUUAUCGUGAAGAAGUCGUGACAAGUGUAUUUCAUCCGUGAAUAAAGGCAAUUUGGAGGGAGAGAGAGAAAGCCAGCCAUUCUAUCUCAUGAAUUCAUCGGUGCCUAAAGAAGUCAGCAGAUUCAAAAGGAAAUCGCCGGAAAAAAAUAAAAGCUGAAAUGUUCCAGGGCACAGCAGAUGAAAUCGAUGUUCUCCGAUUGGCUAACAUGUGACAAGACCGCCGGUCGGGCAGAGAAGGAGCCCCGGCAGUGUAGGUGGGAAAGGUCUCGAUCGCGGGGUCAGUCACAGAGGUGCCUGGACUUCGCUGGUAUCGAAAAAGAUGACCGGGGCCAACUCACAUAUGGUCCCUAAAGAUUUGCCUGCAGCAAAUCAAAGUGGGGUUCCUAACACGGGCGAUCAAAUCCGCCACGCAAACGUGGGAAACGUGGGGGUGCCGCGCCGUGGGGCGCGAGCACCAGAGGUGUUCAGGAGUGCUGGCGUGCCCAUCGGUUGUGCUCUGUGAUGCCAAGGCCUCUGCAGAAAAACGCAAAAACCUGUGACGCGCUUCCACGACGCUCCGUUCCUUGUUCCACGCCACCCAUGCAUCUGUCACAAGACUGGCGAUUGCCCAAAACACAUGUAACCAGAGCAGCGAGGCAGUAUCGGGGACACGGAGUGGUUCGCUCCAGUCACAUCGGGCCGUGCAUCAGCAGGCUUUAUCUGCCGCGAUUUGAGCGGCUUGCAAAGAUUAUUGAAACUUGGGAAGCAGCAUUAAACGAUUAUCAGACACACAGGUGGCCCAUGAAUUGAGAAUUCCUUUACACGUGCUAAAUGUUAUAGGGGUUUUUUUCUUCCCCGACGAGCUUCAAAGUGAAACUGUAGACAUGUUUUCAUUGCCUUCAGAAGUAAAAGCAAUCUUUAGCAUC
Prionailurus viverrinus (fishing cat) is the source of this 1269-nucleotide long non-coding RNA. RefSeq lists it as uncharacterized. The transcript has 3 exons. The record is from RefSeq and is a predicted model, not a curated record. Lineage: Eukaryota; Metazoa; Chordata; Mammalia; Carnivora; Felidae.